Molecule: ribosomal RNA, 552 nt
Filed under: uncultured Cortinarius
Lineage: Eukaryota; Fungi; Basidiomycota; Agaricomycetes; Agaricales; Cortinariaceae
Description: eukaryotic LSU rRNA
Rfam family: 5.8S ribosomal RNA (bases 151-304)
Source: RNAcentral
GAUGGGUUGUUGCUGGUUCUNCAGGGAGCAUGUGCACGCCUUGUCAUCUUUAUAUCUCCACCUGUGCACUUUUUGUAGACCUUUCAGGUCUAUGUUGCUUCAUUUACCCCAAUGUAUGUUAAUAGAAUGUUGUGCCUAUAUAAUAUAUACAACUUUCAGCAACGGAUCUCUUGGCUCUCGCAUCGAUGAAGAACGCAGCGAAAUGCGAUAAGUAAUGUGAAUUGCAGAAUUCAGUGAAUCAUCGAAUCUUUGAACGCACCUUGCGCUCCUUGGUAUUCCGAGGAGCAUGCCUGUUUGAGUGUCAUUAAUAUAUAUAUCAACCUUCUCUUUGUUGAGUGGUUUGGAUGUGGGGGUUUGCUGGUGGCCUCUUAGGAGGGUUCAGCUCCCCUGAAAUGCAUUAGCNGAACAAACCUUGUUCAUUGGUGUGAUAACUAUCUACGCUAUUGAAUGUGAGGGGCAGUUCAGCUUUCUAACGGUCCUUUGGGACAGAUUCAUCAUUAAUGUGACCUCAAAUCAGGUAGGACUACCCGCUGAACUUAAGCAUAUCAAUAA